UUUUUUUUUUUUUUUUUUUGCAAAGAUUCACUCUAAAAGUUUUAUUUCUACAAACUCACUCUAACGAACUUUUUAUCUAAGCAAUUUUCUUUUUCUUUUCCAAAUGACAAAGGUCUCUAUUUAUAUACUGGAGUGUACCACAAAUUAGAAAAAAAUAAUCAAAAUAAAAUCAAAAUUGGAUAUUAUAUGAAUAAAAUAAAUUUUCAUUUUCCUAAAAUAAAUGAGGUAAAUUAUAUAAAAUAUUUUGAGAUUGUGUAAAAUUAAAUUAAUAAAUUAAAUGGAUAUUAAAAUAUUUUUGUUUAAAAUUGAUUUUCUUUUUCUUUUCCCUAAAAGGAUAUAAAUAAGUCAAAAGUGAUAUUUAGAAGAUCUUAUUUCCUAAAAUUGUACAAAUGAGAUAAAUGUGAUAUUAAAAUAUAUUUUUUGAAAAAUAAAUUGAUUUUUUUAUUUCCUAAAAUGAUAAAAAUGAGAUAUUAUGUUAUUACUAAUUUUUUACCUUUUUAAAAAUAAGUAAAUAAAAGUUUAACCAUUAUUACUAAUACUAUUAUUAUUUUUUUAAAAAAAUAUGUGUAAGAUAAAAAUAGGUGGCUGCAGCGUGUCACGGACAUAUUUUUUCAAAGUGUGUUUACCUUUGGUUAUAUGCUCUGAUUACCCCCAGUUUAUCUCAUCUUUAAUUCCUAUAACUAGUUUAGGUGUUUGCUUUUCAUUCUAGGUCAUAAAGCUUGGGUGUGAAGUUUCGACAUUUUCAUAUGCAAGCUUAUCAGAGCUGAAAAUGUUCAAAAUGUACUAUAGGGGAGACAUAUCAGUUGAAUCCCCACUCGAGUAUUAGUUGUACUAUUUGCAAGCAACCCUUUUUUCUUGUAAUUGACAGUCUUUACUGCUUAUCAUAACGUCUAUUUCAAUGUAUUUCUUUCUUUCCCGCGUUUUAUAAAUAAAAUUUCUCUAAAACGCCAAGGAAGGUUACGACAUACGUCGACUUUACCCACAACUCUUGAAUUUUUAUCGAUUGACUUGUUCAUUGAGCUAGAACAAGUACCGCACAAUCGUCCGUCUCGAGGUUGAAACGCUACGAUUGUGACACAGCGCAUGUUAGUCAUGUCCUUGCUUGCUACCUACCCUCUCAGAUAGUUGACAACUUACAUUGGCCAAGCAAUGAGAUUAGCUCAACUAACGAGAUAAAAAUUAUAAGUUAAAUAUCUUAUCAAAAACUUAUUACAAAUCUAACUACUAAUAACAUAUUAAUAAGUGAAAAGCCAAGAAAUGAUGGACGAUUGAAGUGGUAUAAGCAUGUAAUAUAUAUAUUAAAGAAUGUGGGUCUUCAGCCAUUAUACAGUAUGAACAAUAUAUAUUACAAAGAAAUAUCUAAAAUAUCCACUUUGUUUAACUCAUUGAAACGUGCUUCCCUUGAUGAAGAAGGAGUUCUUUCAUAGCUACUUUCAGCGAAAAAUAAUUCUAUUCCUCUGAGCAUGUCAACACCAAUUGCAAUCUUUUCACGUUACACCAGCUUCAACUACCAUCCUUGUCAUUCAGUGAAUCUUCCUCACGUGAUGAUGUGGUUCCUCGCCUAGAGGUGUUAGUCGCCAAAUGAGUUUCUAUCGCGUAGCCUUUGCACGAGAUGUCUCUGCGAUUCACUAGUUUCUUCCUUUCUAAUAAUUUCGCGUUAAAGACAUGAAAAUUGCAUAAAAUAUGCAUGAUGCUUAUGUAUGAUGUAUUUCUAAAUAUUCAUGAAUUUACAAUAUAAGUUGUGCGUUUUGGUCAGGUCCUCUGUUAUGCGUUUUGGCCUCAUUAUUCUAAUAAAAUAGGCUAUAAUAAAGGAUGUUUAUACACAUUAUCCAAAGGGUGAAGAAUUGGGAUCGAGUUUUUGGGAGGGGUCAUUGUGAAGAGGUGGAGAGAAAGGGGGAAAGAUAAAAAAAUAUAUAUAUAUUUAAUAAAUUGUUUAAUGAAAAGUGGGAGAGAAAUUGAAAUUGGGGAAAUUUUGCUAAAGUUUUAGCAACAAACUAAUUUUGUUGUAAAACUAUUUCACUUUUUAGUGACAUUAUUGUUGUGUUACUAAUUCUUGUAGUGAUGCGGAUUAAAAAUUUGUCGCUAAUAAUAAUCCCUUGGGACAUUUUUUUUGCAUCACUAUAAAUGUAUGUUUAGUGACAAAAAUUACUUGUGUUACUAAAAUUUUGUUACUGAAUAAUAAAUUUCUUGUAGUGGUAAAAGGCUUUUUAUUCGUCAUUUCAUACAAGUACAUAAUUAUUGUAAAGUAAUUGGGUUGGUUGAUUAUAUACUUGAAACUAUUGCCACUUCUCGUACGAAUAUGAAUGGGUCAUUAGAUUUCAUGGAGUCUAAGAACUGCAUUAAGAACAAUGUUGAAGUGUCUCGACAAUGUCUCAUCGGACCUUGCAAAAUGUCGACAAGCUGUCCUAUAUUCUUAACAUUGUGUGCUACAAGAUGCAAGAAAGUUGCAACUAUCUCUUCGACAUCUACGUAUUGAGUGGCUUCCAAGCCUUAUUCUUAACAUAGUACACAUCAUAGAAAAACAUCUCAAGCUAUAUCGUUUGACAUGAAUUAGACAAAAAAAAAAGUUAAGUUCAAGUAGACGAAAAUUUUCUUAAUUUAGUUUCGCUUUUAGAAAACACAAUAGUGCCUUUUAUUUUUUUUAAAAAACUCGUGAGAUUUACUUGAUUUUAACUUAGCAUUGCUUUUUUAAAAAAUACAAGAUUAUCUUCUUCUAUAAUUUUUUUCUUGAUAACAAAAGUUCUAAUAUAUUACUUUGUAACAAAUUUACCAAUGUUUCAAUUUGCAGUUAAUAAUUUAGCUUUCAUUUUAAAAACGAAAGUAACAAAAAUCCUUGUAACAAAUUUGCUUUUAAUUUCUUCUUUAAUCUUUUUUUGUCAUUUUUAUGACAUAUUUGUUUUCUGAUUUAUAAGUUUUAAUUUUAUAUGAAAUUGAAAUUUUAUAAUUCAAUUUUAUACAAAUUUUAUGUAGUUACUAAAACUUAUUCUUUUGUAUAACAACCAAAUACCACAUCAAUUAAUCACAUUGUUAUUUUUUAGGCAAAUAUUUUUAAAGAAAAAAGUUACAAACUUUUACAACAUACAAAUAUUUCUUCUUCUGUAAUUCUCCUUUUAAUUUAUUUUUGGUAUUUAACAAAAUAUAGGAUCUCAUUUAAUUUCUUCCUUCUUUGGUCUUCCUUUUUUCCUUAGCUGUCAAAUAUGUAAUCGUUCCUUUUUGUUUACCUUUUGUAUAUCCAUCUUCUAUUGGCUAUUAUACAGUGAAGAACAUUGUCCAAUUCUUUCUUUGUGUUCUCUGUCUUCGCUCUUUUUCUUUUUAGCUUUCCCUUAUUUUUAUCUCAAAAAAAAAAAAAAAACUCAUUCCAUUUGUUUCUAAAACAAGUCAAUAUCAUUCUUCUUCUCAAACUAGGCAUUUCAAGGAAAAUUUUUGUUUAUAAAAAACAUGUGCAAUCCUUUUGUUUUAUUGUAACAAGUGAACAAUAUAAAUUAACUUGAUAAGAAAAAAAAUAAUAUUACAACUAUAUUUCAAAUAAAGGAUUCUCAAAGGUUAAAAUAAAUAAUAUAACAAAUAUUAGAAAAUCAUAAUAUACAAAACAUGAAUGUACUAACAAAUUAAAGAAAUUAAAAACGCAAAAAUUCACAUACAAAUGUGGGAAGAAAAAGAACACAAUACGUAGUGGUGAGUAUCUAAGAUUAACAGAGUGUGCGAGGCAAGACAAGAUAGAACUACAAAAAAAAAAAAGUAAAAUAAAACAGUCAACGAGAUGGGAUAAGCGAAACUAAUAAUGUAUAAAAUAUUGUUAAAAGUUACAUUACCAUGUAUAUAAUAUAAGCUCAUUUCAUGAUAGUUGAAUGUGACCCAUGUAUGUAUUAACAAAGAAAAGUCCACAUAUCCCCAAACAAAAUAUCAAAGAAGAGGAAAGUAAUAAUAUUAGAAAAAAAAUAAAGUAAUAAUAUAGAUCAAAAUCUCUAUACAAAGAUAGAUUGAAAAUAAUUUACCUCUCAACGAUAAUCGAUCGGGAAUGUUAUGACCUCAAUCUCAAUAGAGUAAAUUUUAGAUACAAAAUAAAGAGGUGGUGUGUUCAAGGAGGAGAAGUGAUAUAGUUAUAUUAAAAAAAAUGUUCAAAUGGUAGUGUUAACCAAUAAAUUGUAGUUUCAAAUUAGUUGACCACCAUUAAUAAAUAAUGAAAUGAUUACUAUAUAUAUUAAAUAUAAAUUUAAAAUAUGAUUUCAAAUUUAAAUUACUCUCAACUAUACCACAUAUAUUAUAGGUGGAAGUAAAUAUGAAAAAUAUCCACAGUCAAAUCCAUGAAAUCCCAUAUGAUUCGUUCAAUUUAAAAUUUUCAACUACCACGUAAUUGAAAAAAAUAAUUAAUAAAUAAUAGAGAAAAAAUAAUUUAUAAAAGAACAAACUAAAUACCAAUCAAAACAAAAUUGUAAAAGUAAUGUGAGUAAAUUUAUCAUAGAUGCAUAAAUAGUUUAAAAAGUUAGAAUAAUAAUAUAUCAACCAGAUUUGUCCAACAAAUAAAAAAGAAGAAAAAACAUUAACAAAGAAUAUAACUAAAUUAACGUAGACCUCCGAUAUGAUUUGUAGUUAUUGAGAAGAUGAAAUCCUACAAGAAAUUACUCUUCAUCUGCCUUAAUAAUUAAGAAGUUUGAAAGUAACCUGUGCAGUGUACACAUCAAAAGAACCUCACCCACCAAAACCUCAAUCAUGCGAAACCCAAACUUCUACCAUGUCUCUAAGAUUAUGGUAAUUUAAUGUUGUAUCACAUUCGUAAAGUAAAUAAGAACAAAGGAUACACAACUUCUAAAAGACAACAAAACUUGGAUUCUGUCAUUGGAAGGUAAUUUCUAAGAGAAUGAUAUAAACAAAGAUAAUAGAUUCAGACCCAAAUGAGGAGAAUCUAAACCACUUCAACUGAAAAGAAAAUUAUUUUGAUUAUUGAACAUUAAAUCAAAGAAGAAGUACAACAAAAUGUUCUAAAACUUGAAUCACUAAACACCAUACACUGUAAAUGAAACCCUAAACCUUGCUUUAAAAAAGUCAUAAAAAGAAAUUAAAAAUCGUUAAUCGAUUGGUAUAAAAAAAAGCAGAAUCUUGCAAGUAGAGUGAAAUGGAAAAUGGUUUCAGAAGUAGAUCGGAAGAGCCAAAAAACACACACAAAAAAAAGGAUUACGUACCUAUGAGGAAGCAUUGGUAGACAUGCAAGGCAACAAGCGGGGAAGGGAUGAAGGAUAUGAAAGAAUUGAUGGAGCACUCACUUUGUGAUUUAGAAAAAAUCGCAAGUGAAAAUCCAUUUUCCUUAAUCGAGACCAUCGUGGAAAGGAAAAUGUCACCAAGCAACUUUCGCAAAUGUUGUCUUCACAAAAAUCGUUGAUUUCCCCUCCUUGUCUCCAAUGGUGCCCAUGUGCCGGAUAUUGAGCACAUUGUUCGUUCCUCGCGCUUAGCUCCUACUUUUGACUCUGAGUCUGUUGGUUUCUCUGUCACUGCGGUUACUUUGUCUGCUACUGCUGCUUUUCGGAUCAAAAACUGUCUUAUGGUGGAGUCUCGUGCUCCUGGCACAUCUAUUGUGUUACUCACUGAUCAUCAUGUUGAGAUAAACAAUCUUCUUCGUUAUUUGAAGUCUGUCUUGUCUGCUUCUGGUGAUCCUGGUCUUUCUACAUCUUGAUUCUCUUUAUGCUCAAGGGGGAGUAUUAUGUUGGAUGUGCUGUUUGUGUUUUGGGUUGUUCUUGUUUGGCGCUACUAUUAUUUUGAUUAUUGGUUGAUGAUCCAAAUACUGUGCUCCCUUGUUUUUUCUUUUUUUUCUUUUUUUUGUGAAAAGUAUACAAGAGUGUUGCUAUAUAUGUAGCUCAAUAUUUAGCCAUUAGCUUCGCACUUAGCUUUUGAAAGAACUAAAUGGAUUUUGUAUAUUCCCAGUUAUGACUGAUCUUCUAUGUGUGAACAUGUGUUGUUCGUCCAGCAAGCACAAACUAUGUUUGUUCAAAAAAAGAAGAUGUGUGUGUUUGGCAAAAAGGGAGAGUUUGUUGAAAUAUUUUGUCAAACGAAAUUCAACAUAUUUUUAAGUGUUCCUAUAUUUAAGGAAUAUUGGUAGAUCUUGAGGAGCAUGCAAUAUCUGGAAGAUUUUAUAAAAGAUAUUUAUAUAUUAAUUUACAAGAUAUAUAUAGUGUUGUUCUACAUAUUUUGGGUGUGAAAAAAAGACGCACUAUCAUCGACUUUAAAAGGGAAUGCAAUUCGGUUGUGCUAUAUCACUGUACUUCCCACUGAUUGAGGAGGAGCUUGAAUCUGUCUUCAAAGAGAUUCAUCAAUACCGUUAAGGGGAGCCUGUUCUGUCUUUAUAUCUUUAAUUAAGUUAUAAUGAUAACGAAAUAUUUGUAGCUUUGGUGUUUGAGUUAUAAACUUAUGAAUCUCAAUAAUAUUUCUUAUUUGAGCAAAGAAACUCCUCAGAUGUAGGUUGUAUUUGUCGAACUGAGUUAUCCAAAGUUUUUGUGUGUUAUGUGUUGAAUCUUUACUCUAGCUAAUUUUGUAGCUUAAUAACUUUAGAUAUAGUUAAAGGUUAUUUUUUAUCAUAUUAUUUUCUCAAAUUUAAUAUUAUCUUAACUUUUGGGAUGUUACAGUACUAAAUCAAAUAUUUUUUGUAAUUACAAUGGCCUUAUCAUUGCUCUAAACUGAUUGGAAUUUUUCUUUAGUUCCUCUUCCACUCUAUUAUUUUGAAUGCAUUUCUUUUGGUCUGGUCUUGAGAGAUUACGAGGAUGUUGUGGAAGUGACAACCUAGUUGAGAUGAUCAUCCAUUUUUCUUUAAUAUCUUGUUCAAAAAUCAUUUGGGUAUGUACAUGAUCAUAUCCCUAGCUAAUUACAUUUUCUAACCUCGAAGACCAUGAAUUUUAUAUACAUAUAUCUCAUACUUUUUCUUUGAUGUUAUAUUGUAAUGUUUAAGUUUUAAUUACAUAAUUAUUUUCUUUUAAGAAGAUAUAUUUAGUAAUUAUAAUAGAUAGCGAUUUUAAGGAUAAUAAUUAAGUGUAUAACAAUAUUUAAAAAGAAUACAAAUAUCACAAAGUCUAUCUAUGAUAUUCUUUUAUCUCGGGUAAAAUCUUAUAAUUUAUUAGUGAUAAACCAAUAUUUUGUAAUAUGGUCUAUUGGUGAUAGACUUCUAUUAUUGAUAGACUCUGAUCGAUUUUCCUAUAAUUGUAAAUUUCUUAAAAUGUUGCUACAUAUACUAAUACUUUGAAUCUAAUUGAUAUAUUAUCAAGAGUUUUUUAACAAAUGUCGUAAAUCACCUUUCAUAAGCAUUAUUUAUUAUAUAUUCUUUCUAAAUUUUAGAUAAAGUAAAAGUUCAAUAUAAACACAACUAAGAUAUUCAUUUUGUUUCUAAGAAUCUAAAUGACAAGCAAACAAAAUAACAUACUUGUAUUGAGAUUAAGGAAAGAUCUAAUGAUCAUUUUAUAUCAUAAUUAAUAAUCGAUCGUACAAAAGCAUAUCAAAUGAUAACAACGAGACCUGAUGGACUCGAGAUUUUAAUAUAAAUUCAUAUAGAAUAACCAAAUGGAACAUCUUUCAUUUUAGUAAUAUAGUAAUAGUAAUAAUAAUAGUAUAACAUAAAAAACAUGAAUUCCAUCACCUUUCACUCAAUCAAAUCCCCUUUCACAUAUGAGCACCUCCGUGGCAACACUUGAAGCUAAUACCAGUCUCCAUGAAACGAGGACAUUCAGGACAAUUCACAAUCAUCGGAAUCCAUCCACUAAAUCCCGGAAGAAUUACUCGAUCACAUUGAUGACUCUGUAGAGCCAAUUCAUUGAAAUAUUCUCUAAACACAUCAGGGAAAGCCUUUAUCCUCAAACUUUGCUUCCAUUUCGGGAACUCUUCAAGUAAUUUCAAUAUCAAAAUCCCACGACCAACCAGCACUGGGGCUGUUCCUACAGCUAGAACAACCCAACCAUCUUCAUUUUGGUAUGAUAUCAAUCUUAAAAUGUCUUCGGUUGUUUCACUUGCACUUGAACCUAUUAUUUGGCUCUUCACUACAAAAUAACCCCAUUGUGUUGUCCAAAAACGAGCCAUGAGUGAUGGAUCAUCCUCUCCUUUUGUAUCUUUUCCAAUUCGUACAAUCUCAAAUGAACCUCCAUCCAUUAUCAAAGGAUCACUUUUCAAAAUGUCAGCCCUCUCUUCAAAUUGUUGGAUCCACUUUGAGUCUUUUCCUCCAUAGAAUAGGAUGCUUUUCUCUUGCCUUAUCUGUAUGAAAAAGAUAUCAACACAACCCAGAUAACAAGUAGAAACAAACAAAAUAGAAGAGAGAAAGGCUAAAUUAUUUAUAACAAAAAUACCCUUGUCAAUUGUUUCCCAUAAUACAGUUGGGUGGUUGGUAGUUGAAAAUAGUUACAAUGUUAUUCUUGAUUUUUAAAAAAUAUUUCAAAAUAUGAAAUUCUUUAAAAAUUUGUAUGAAAUAUGGAAUUUAGGAAAGUAUAUGGUGGUGGCCUUGACUAGGUAGCGAUCCAAUUUUCCAUUCUGUGUUCUUGUUAUUGAGGAUCCCAUGUUGGUAAUAAAAUACUUAGACAGGCUAUUCUUUUUAGUCCAUUCGACAUUAAAUGAUCUGAAAAAUAAUUGGGAUCUGAUCCUAAAAUAUGAACUCAAAACAUACAUAAUUGUUGUCAUUUGUUUUUGAGAUAAAAGUUUUAUGUUAUCUAACAACUACCAUAUAAUAUAUUAUGCAUAGUCUAAAUUAUACGUAUACACAUAUAGAGGGAGGGAUGUAUUUUUUAGAUACAAUAAAAUGAACCUAUAAAUAUAGCAAAAUAUCGUCGAUAGAUACUGCUAGACAUUGAUAUAGAGAUGAUCAUAGAUAUUCAUGAGUUGCUAUCACUAAUAAGCGACUAUGAAAUUUUGUUAUCUCUAUAAUUAUUUUCAAUAGGGUUGCAAAUUAGAACAUUUUUUAUAUAUACAAUAUAGUAUUGAAAUAUUUAUUAAAGAAACGGUUGAAGUUAGAAGGAAGAUUUGAAGGUAUUUUAUAAUUUAGAUAGGAAGGGAUUAAAAAAUGUAUACAUACCCAAUUUUGAAGUCUUGGUUGGUGAGUGAAUUUGAGGAGAGUGGAAUCAGGCCAAUUUCUUCUUAGCAAAGCUUUGGCUCUAUCAUGUGUAAAAUCAAUUGCUUCAGUUCCCCAAACUCGAAUUAGAUGAAUUGCAUUUGCAAAUACCACUUUAGAUUGUGGGUUUAACACCACAACUAAUGGAUCCUCUCUAAGUUGCCAUUUUUCUUCAAUAUAUCUCAUCCCAGAUAUCUUUGUAGUAAACUCUACUGAAUGCCAUUUCAUUGUAGAUCGCAAAUAUUCAUAUCUCUUCCGAUCUUCUUCUUGAUAAGGCUCUGGGAUUAUUGGAAUCCAAAUUAUCUCAUAGUUUGCAUCUCUAGCUUUCAAUUCACUGUAAACUUGAUGAAUAGCAGUUAGAUCAUCAACGGAGAUAUCCAACCCAGAAAUUACCAAUAUCACGUUCUUUCCCAACAAACUUUCGUGAACGGUAACCUACAAAAAAUGCGUUAAUUUUGCACUUAGUUACGUUAGUCUCUUAUCGUACUCACUUAAAAGUAAUUCAUUGUCAACAAUAGAAGAGAAUAGAGAUGAGUACAAAGUAUGAUAAGAAUGCUACAAUUGUGUCAGAUUAGUUCAACUAUCUUGUGCACCUUUUGAUCUCCUUUUCCUCUUUAUUGUUAAAAAAAAUGAAUUACAAAGUAAGAGCUAGAGUGAAGCUCAAGAACAAAAAAAAUGAAAAAAAUAACAGAAAGACUAGAGGAAAGUUUUUCAAUCAAGAGAUUUUUCGCGCACUACAGAGCAGCGAAGUGAAAAAAUCUCAUCCCACAAUCCAAAAUUGCAAGCAGAUGAGAGUAUUUCAACACUUCUAACAACAUAUACCCUUUUGAUAAAACACAUAAUUUUGAUAUUUAAAAAUGAACAUAGGCAAUUGUAACAUUAUUUUUUCAACAAGCAAUAAAAUAUAAUAAGUUAUGAAUAGAAGACAGACCUCUUUUAAAGAAGAGCCAUCAAAAAGGGGUUUGGUUUCAGGUUUGCCACUAAGCAGCUUGGGAAGUACCAAUGUAAUGUCAGUCUGAUAAUGUUCAAUGUGAUCAACCAACCAUCGGUACAGAUCAACCUCCUCUGUCAUAAAGAAAAACACAACCCAAUUUAAUGUUAUUUUUAAUUAGCUCAAUUCCAAUAAAAUAUUAACAACCAAAAUUAAUAAUAAAAAUAACUAAGGAAAUUAAAAUUAUUUGACCAUGUUGUUCUCGGAUGGCGUCUAGAUGCUUUUCAAGCACAGCCAGUACAAUGGCCAUUUUUUCAGAUAAUUCAUUCAAAUAUCUCUGUGGCUGAUUCCUGAAAAAGCCAUAGUUAAUUAUAAUGAAUUAAAUUUGUUGUUAGAAAUACAAACUUGAUUUUAGAUCUUUAAGUAUUGUGAUCCAUUCCAAACAAAGGACCUAUCUACAAGUAUUAAGUAUUGUAUUAUACAUACUACUGAACAUAUUUUUAUGUUAAUAUAUGACACGAACUUUUAUCUUAAAUCAGUCAAUUAAUGAGUGGAGUAGUUCAUCUAACAUAUCGAAUUUAACCGAUUUCAAUAUUUUUUAUUAUAUGGAAUACCCAGUAAACUUUUAGACUCUGAUAUUAUAAAAGAAAUAACUGGGUAGAUCACAGCUACCGCCAAUGUGACAUUUAAGAAAAAAAAUGGAUAAUUUGAAAAGUAAGAAUAAAGUACUUACUCAGUUUCACUGAGGUAGGUGGAGAGCUCAAUUCUAGCUGCAACAAUUGUGUGUAUAACCCAAUAAGUAAUCAAUGGGAUUUGACGAAGAGCAGAAGGCAAUUCAGGAAGUUCCUUCACAUCAUAUUUAGAAAAUUCUUUAAUCUCAUUCAUGUGUUUGAUUGCUUGUAAGCAGCUUUGGAUUAGACUUUUGGGGUUGAGAAUCACUUGUCGAUAUCGAAGUGAGUCUAGGUGCUUUUUCAAAGAAGCUACUCUUUUUAUAAUUGCCAAAGAUUUUGCUAAUGGAUCAACAUGGGAAUAGUGGUGAAGAUGCCAUAAGUCUCCAUAAUCAGUUGCAAAGGCUAUCAAAGUGAGAACUGCUUUGGCUUCCCAUGGAUAAUUUGCUAAUGUUUCAAAGAUUUGUAGUGUGGUCUCAUGUGCUUUUUCUAUACCGGGAGCCUUGCAUGACAACUGAGGAUAUAAUAGUUCAACUUUCAAUUGCAUUGGAUUGAAAUUUAAAAUGAAUUUUAAUUUAUUAUUUCUUUAUACAAUGUAAUUCUUUUAUUUAUAUAUAUAUAUCAUUUAAAUUUAGAUAAAAGAAGGUCAUAUUUGAUAACCAUUUGAUGUUUUGAUUUUAGAAUAUUUAGAUUAAGAAAAUUUCUACUCAUAAAGUUAGUUUUUAGGUUUAUCAUCUAAUCAUGUAUAUAUUAAUGUUUUCAUGAGAGGAACAAAAAUUUCAAAACUAAAAUAAGUAGUUUUCAAAAAUCAAUAUCAACAAAUUUUUUUUAAAAAAAGAAUAAUUGUUAAAAUAAUAUAGGUACACACACAUGUACUUGCCUAAUCAAUGUAAAAAAGUCCUUCAAGUGUGGGAAACAAUUUUUUUCAAAUAGAAAAAAAAGUUAAAUGCAUGAAAUUUGUUAGAGAUUUUAAAAGAAACAAACAAAUAAACAAAUUACUCAAUCACAGUCAAAUAACAAGUUCAAAUAAUAAAUAAAUGAUUAUAAAUAAAAAAGUUAUUAAAAUAUUUACCAUUAUAACGAAAAAUUAUAUAAUUUAGAGAUUGAGUCACAUUCAUUAAUAGAUUUACAAAUUUUGAAAUUUUACUAUAUUUUAAUUUUAUAUUUAAACAUACUCAAUAGUAUAAUAGUUUUUUGAACUGUAUAUGACCUGGCUAGAGAUACGAUGAAGAAUACAAAGUGGAGGCUCGAUCACAACAUUACUAGUUGUCAAAGCUGCAUCAGAACGUGUCAUACGCCACUCAAUUCCCUAUAUAUGAAUACACGAAACAACAAUUAUCUAUCACAAAAACAAAUUAGGCAAGUACAACAAAGGCAAAAAACAAAACACUAACAACUUUGUGCACAACAUAGAAAUAUAAUAUUGUGUAUUUUUACUCGAUGGACAUUAUCGGUAAUUUGAUCAGCAAUUUCGAUAAUGUUCUCAAUAACUGAGAUGUAAUUCGGAAGAUCAAUUUUGACAGUAUCAUCGUCACGAUGUUUGGCGUAAAUAUGGCCAGUGACGAGGUCAUCGGAGUAAUGUCUAGUGCUCAACUCUUCCUUAGGGUUGGUUGAUUGCUUAGAAUGCAAAGGCAUAGGUGCAGUGGAGGGUGCCUUGAGUGAAGUGGCCAUGGUUUUGGGGGUGGAGAGAGGGAUAUAGAAUAUGAAAAUAGAAGAAGGAAAACAAAAAAGAUUUGAAUAGGUUUAAUCUGAUUGUGUUGGGAAUUGGGAAUUGGUAGGCAUUUAUUUAUACACAUUGAAAUCUUCAAGGAAGAGAAAAUAAAAAGCAAAUGAGUGUGAAAAGGACAUUAAUGUAUUCUUCUUGUCUUAAAGAAAAGAAUGUGAAGUUCUAGAUUUAAAGCUUUAAUUAAACACACGUCCAUCUUACUUCUUUCUUGUCUCAAUUUCUACACCUCUGCCUAAUUUUCCUUUUCUCUUUUAUUUCCAUCUUCUUUUAUUUUAGGUUAAAAAAACAUUUUUGUCCAAUCAUUUAGGAUGAUAACUUGGUAGAGAGUUUGAAAACAAAUUACUCUAAUGAAAACAGUUUUAUUCAUACUUUUACAUAUGUCUUUGAUUGCAGAUUCAUACGUUGAAGUUUAAUAUAAAUAAUGGUUUAAAAUAUAUUUUGAUAUUACAUAAAUUAAAAUUAGUUGUAAUUACUCACAAAUAUUCAGUUGACAGUAAACUAUUAUUAAAUUGCUCAUAAAUAUUAUUUUUGUUAAAAUUAUAAAUAAUUAUUGUUUUGUAGUAUCACAAUGCAUCUUAUAUUUGUAAAAAGGAACUGAGCUUAUAACAUGGCGUAUUGUGUUUCUAAAUGCUUUUUUUUUUCUUUACUUAAUAUAAUUCUACUUUUAAAUUUUAAAAUUCAAAAUUUGGAUACAAUAAAAUAUAAAAAUAUAUAUUUUUAAAUAUACACCAUUUGGAUUACAUAAUUUAAAAAUUAAUUAGUUUUCAAAACACACAAUAUAAGGGUUAUGAUUGUCAAACAAACAUUUGUUAAAUUAGAUAAAUUUGAAAAUCUAAAACAAAAUAUAGAUUUCAUAAACUAUAGAAAAGACUCUUAGUAUAACAAUUUAGUCAUCCUAUUUUUAAAAUUGUAACAAUUAACUUUAUAAUGUAAAAAAAUUCAUUAAAGAAUUAGAUGUCAAAUUUUAUUAUUUUAUGAUAUAUUUUGUACGAGAAAUGUGAUUGAACCAUAAAACUAAUUUCUAGGAUGGCAACUAACUAAAAUUGUUAUAAAUAUUAAAUUCGUUACAUAAUGAAUUUGAAGGAUUAAAUUGUUAAAAAAUGAAAAUAUAAAGAUUAAAAUUGUUAGUAGUUAGUAUGAAAGUUUGGAACAAAAUAAUUUUUAAUCUUAUAAAAGUAGAGUUUGCUUAAGGUUAAUGGAGAGGAAUCACAUAUAUAAUGGUUGUAUAUUAAAAGAAAAAAACAAUGAAUUUUAACCAUAAUUUUAUAAUAUGAAGCGAAUAUGUGUCCUAAUGAUUAAAACUGGUUUUUGGGUUUUGUUCUUUUAAUAUAACGUCACAAUCACAAAAGCCAGAAUGUGAAAUUAAUUGAAUCUAUAAAUCUUAAGCGAAAAAAGAAUAUAAUUUUACUUGGUUUGUGUUAAAGGUUUAAAAUAUCCAUCUUGGAAUAAACGUCAACGUCUUCCAUUUCACCCAAUUUCAAUGAAAAAAUAAGUAAAAUAUCGAUUUUCACACAUAACUUUACCAAAAUCUAAAAACAAAAAAUUCAAUUUUUUUAAUAAAAAUAUUAAUAAAUAAACCUUUUUAUCAUACAUUUCUUAAAAUAAUAAAAUAAAUUAAAAUAUUUACAAACUAUAACAAAAUUUGGAAUUCUAUCACUAUAUGUGUCAAUGACUUAUAGAAUUUGCUAUAAGUUGUAAAUGUUUUUUAAAAUCUAUUACUUUUAACAAUUCCUCAAAUUUUGGAUUUGGUUUCUAAUUAUAUAAACUAAAAUUUAGUAUUUUAAUAAUUUUGUGUUAUUUGUCUUUUAUAAUUUUAUUGAAUUUAAAUCGAAUCGGAACCCAAAAGAGUAUUUCACAGUAGGAAAAAUUGAACAUAAUAAUUGAAAAAUGUAUUAAAAUUAUCUUCUGACGCACUAUAGAAUGUCGAGAAUAAUGCUAUUCCUUCGGCAUUGUAAGCAAUGCGCUAGGUCAACCAUCAUUGACGUCGCGUUGAGAGUACCUUUUGGCAUCGGGAGUAAGUCAAUUCUAUGAUGGGACAUUGGAAGUCACCUAUUGUCGACAUGGCUCAUCUCUUUGCAUUUUUGGCAUCAGGAGUAAGUCAAUUCUACCGCCUUUUCGUUUGCACGUUGAGAUAUCCCUCCCCGAUGCACUAUUGUCGACUUCCUUUUCGACAACACUAUGUGAUUUGGGAGAUCCUUUUCUAAGUGUUUCGUUUUUUUUGACAAAUAUAGAAUUAGUUUUCUUUUUAAAUUUAUUAGUUUUGAGGGUACUUCAUGUUGUCUUAUUUUAUUGAAACGAUCAUUAAAUACGGUCAAUUUUAGUCUCAUUAAUCCUCCUUAAAAGUUUCAAUAACUAAUAAUUAUAACAAUUUCAUUCGUUUCCAUACAUGGUUUUCAAAAUUUCUAUGGCAUCAGUAUUUCUAUUGAAACUUUCAUAAAAUUGAACAUUCAAAUGUUUCAUAUCCAAGUCUAAGUCCAUUGCAAAACGAUCUCUAACUGUAAAUUUAUAACAAAUUAAUUAAUAAAUUCUUGUAUCAAUUUCUAACUUUUAUGAUUUUCCGUUAAUUGUUGAUAGUCAAUUUUUUUCAACAAUUUAAAAUCAACCUUUGACAAAAAAAAAAAAAAAAUCAAAAUCUCAAUUUUACAAAUAAAUGGGUAGAAAAAUGGGUAAAAUAGCAACGUCCAUAGAAAUUUGAAGAAAUAUUAUAAAAAUUAAUUCAGAUGUUAUUAUUAAUUAACUUAAUAAUGAAAUAGUAUUCUACACUUUUUGUAAAAAUAAUUAAUGUGUGUAAGUGAUAUAUAUUGAACCAAUCAAUAUGCAAACUAUUGGUGUAAAUGUAGAUGGCGUUUUUAAUAAAGUUAAUACCUUGAUUAUGUCCCAUUUCUUUUAGAAUGAUUCUGUGAACAGCCAUCUUUUUCGACUGUCGAGAAAGGUAGAACGAUGGAUGAUAUGUAUCAAAUAGAAAUUUUUGUUUUUAAUGCAUAAAACUGACAGCUACCAAAGAGAAUGAAGAAUCAUAUAGUAAACUUUAAUUCAUAUUCAUUGUGAAUAAAGUGAAUCUUCAAAAUUACAACCAACAAUUCCUAUACUUUUCAUAAAGAGGAAACACACAAAAUCUGGAAUAAUAUAUAGGAUUGAAGGGAAUUACUUUAAAAAUAAAAUAAUUUAACUUCAUUGACAAAUGAUAUGAUAAUAAAAUUGUUUUAUUGUUCAUCCAAUGCUUUUCAAUUAAAAAUACAAAUGAAAUAGAUAAAGAACAACUACAGUAGCCUCUGACUUUUAAAAAAAAUUAAUUUCAAACUUGGGUAAUGCAUAUACGGUGAUACUCUAGCUCCCUCAAAAUUUUGAUAAAGAUGGUAAUGUAGAGACAACUUGAGUUUGUGAAGUUGUUGAGUACAACAUCCACGGAAUAAUAUAAGUAGUACAUAGAUGUGUAAUUGUACGUACUUGUAAAGAACUCAAACGAGAAAAUGGUAUGAUAUUAGUAAGUAGCAAACAUCGAAACAUUGCAACUCAAAAAUAGCAUCAAGAAGGGUACGAUAUUUAGAUUUUGUGGUAGAGUGAGAAACACAUAUUUUUUCUAUGGCAAGAGAUGAGCAAAUUGUCUAGGUGGAAGUAGUCAACUUUGAGUUUUUUUAUUGUUUUAUAGGAACUAUAUCAAACAUCUAAGAAAAAAUUAAUGUAUUAUUUUUACCUAUAUAAAAGAAAUCAAGAUUUACUUUUGAAUCCAUAUAUCUAUAUAGAAUAAAAAUGUUGGUAGAAACCAAAACAAGUAUAUCUCAACUAUAAUGAUCAAAGUAACUUUAUAAUAUAUAUCAUAUGAGGGUUACUCCUUUCUUUGUCGAUUGAUUUUGAGAUAGAAUCUCAUACUAUCAAAUAUGGUAUCAAAGUCUCUAUUAAACCUAAAUAAGAUAGUUAAACCCCAAAGAGACACCAUCUUUGAGAUCACAUAUUGGUUCAUCAAACAAAUUCUCAAAACAAGUGGUGUAUCAUUUUCAAGCGUUGGGGUUCUCUUACGUGUGAAACACAGACCACCAAGUUAAAGGUUGCAACCUGAUACGUGUCGAGAGUUCUCCAUAACUUAUGACACCACUACUAACGCGUCAAGUGUUCCUGCGCCUCAUCGUGGAAGGCAUGCGAGGAGAAAACCGUUGUGCGUGGCUCAUAAGUUUCUAUUAUAUUAAUCAAUUCAAUCUAUAAUGGUACCUUUUAAAUAUGUAGUUUCUGGUGUUGAUUUAUAACAUGAUUUUUUUUUGUUGACAAAUGUUAUAAAAGAAAAAUCUUAAUAAGCUAUUCAAAGUUGAAGAAUUGUCAAAAUAAUAAAUUUGACAAAAUAUAUAUUUACAAGUUAUAGAAAAAUUUCAGAUUAUAUCAAUAACAAACCUUUGAUAGUUAUAGGGAUAUCCUUCUAUCAGUAACAUUGAUAACAGUGUGAUAGAAGCCUAUCAUUUGCUAUCACUUAUACAAUCCAAAAAUUUUGUUAUAGUUUGGAAAUAUUUCAAUUUAUUUUACUAUUUUUAAAAAUGCUCUUUUAAAAUUUGUAGUGUAUUAAUUCUUCUUUGUACUUGUGGACCUCGUCCAUUAGUACGAUUUAAAUAACUCGUGGAUGUGGUCCACAAGUAUAUUGCCUAACAUAGCAUGUUGAUGACUUAAUUAUGUUUGACUUGUUGAACUUGUGGACUUGGUCCACGAGUCGUCCACCUAUAUUUUUUACUAUAUUUUCAUCCUUUGGUCAAAUUUUGUUGCAUAUAUGUUAAGUGUGGACUCUCUGUUUGGAAUACAUUUGUCCAACCACAUUAUUUGUUGAAUUAAUCCCAACAUCUAAUCAUUUGUAAUUUUAAAUUGAUAUUUACCCAACUCUAUAUUUUUCAUUUCAUAGUUAAUUUUUCUCAAACCACAAAACUCCAAACAGCUAUUUAGAAAAUACUGCAACAAAAACUAAGCUCAAAUCUAUCCAUUUCUUCAAACGGUCGCAAAACAUUUAAAUAUUAGAAUACAUUCUACUUUACAUCACAAAUAGAUGACAUUAAUAAUAGUAGAAUAAUGCAGCAUAAUGCUAGGAUGAUUGUUGAAAAAGCAAUAACGAAAUGAAAAGAAACAACACAUUAAAUUAAUUAAAACGUCCUUUAUUCGAUGUAGUGUUCUUACAUUAGAUGAUCAUAUUGAAGCAAAUACAUAAAGUGUAGCAAAAAGGGGGGAAAACAGAAAAUACGAGCCGCAUACAUAAGCUUGAAGCUAUAUAUAUAUAUAGCAAUAAAUGCAACAAUAAUACUAUAUGGUUUAUUAUUAGUAGUAAUAUGCAAUAGCAUAUUUAUAUAUAUAUAUAUAUAGUAAGUACGUAAUUAUAUGAAGAGAGGAAUCAAAUUAGAGAACCUCCAUGACAGCACUUGAAGCUAAUACCAGUCUCCAUGAAGCGAGGACAUUCAGGACAAUUCACAAUCAUCGGAAUCCAUCCACUAAAUCCCGGAAGAAUUACUCGAUCACAUUGGUGAUUUUUGGCGGCCAAUUCAUUAAAGUAUUCUCUAAAAGCAUCAGGAAAUCCUUUGAGGCGUAAAGUUUGUUUCCAUUUAGGGAAAUCUUCAAGCAAUCUUAGGAUUAAGAAGCCACGACCAACAAGAAGAGGAGCAGGACCAACUGUAAGAACAACCCAACCAUUUUCGUUUUCAUAAGAAAUUAACCUUAAAAUGUCUUCUGUUGUUUCGCUUGCACUUGAGCCUUUCAGUUGGCUCUUGAUUAUGAAAUAAGCCCAUUGUGUUGUCCAGAAACGAGCCAUGAGUGCUGGAUCUUCUUCUCCUCUUGCAUUCUUGCCUAUCCGUACGAUCUCGAAUGAACGUCCUUCGAUUAUUAGAGGAUCGCUUUUUAAAAUUUCUGUUCUUUCCUCGAAUUGUUGGAUCCAUUUUGGAUCUUUUCCUCCGUAGAAUAGGAUGCUUUUCUCUUGGUUGAACUAAUGGAAUCACACAGAAAUAUUAGUAAUAUAUAAACAAAACACAAUUCAAAACAAAUUCAAACAUAAAUGCACAAAUUGGUUGCCUUUUCGUUUUCUUUUAAUUAGAAAUGUGACUAAAGUUUUAUAUUUACGAGAUAAAAGAGAUAAUUGAAAUUACUAAGGUAUAUAGGUGAAACUAGAAACAAAAGCAAUGAUUGUUUUGCUCAAAAUAGAUAAAAUAGCAUACAAUUAUGAAAAUAUUUUGAGAGUCGUUGUCUUUUAUCUCUGUCCAACAAAUUUAAUUACAUAUCAUUCAACUAAUAUGAAAUCUUUUGAGUGGUAACUCAAAACAAAGUCAUGCAUAAAAUAAAUUUUAUCAUACUAUAUUUAGACAUGUGAAGAUCUGUUAGUGUUAGCAACUUAGCCAAGUUCAAGUGCAAUUAUUAAUAACGAUGUACAAAUUGGUGGUAAAACGCAGAUGACAUAUAGUGAUAGUUAUCCAUGGUUAGUCUCUAUCAAGGCUACAACCAAAGUUCUAAAUUAUCUAAAGAACAAUAUCUACCUAUAUUAUUGAGCUUUUGUGGGUGGUUUUAGAAAUAAAAAACCUAAGACCUUACACAAAUAUUAGAUGCGAGCAGUUUGUCGUCCCAAAGAAUUUGAAAGGUUUUUUUUUAAAAAAAAGAAACUAUAAAUGAAAAACCAAGUACGAAAUGAUUAUCAAAUAAAGGUGCACGAGUCAUAUUAAACAAGAUUCUUACCCAACUCAAUAAUCUUGGCUGAUGAGUGAACUUCACAAGGGUUGAUUCAGGCCAAUGUUUUCUCAACAGAUAGUCAGUUCUAUUAUGAGUAAAAGGGAUUGCUUCAGUUCCCCAGACUCUAAUUAAAUGAAUUGCAUUAGUGAAUUCCACUUUAGACUGUGGGUUGAGUACCACAACCAAUGGAUCCUCUCUAAAUUGCCAUUUCUCUUCAAUAUAUCUCAUGCCAGCAAUUCUUGUAGUGAAUUGGAUUGAGUACCAUUUCAUUGUAGAUCUCAAAUAUUCAUAUCUCCUCCUAUCUUCUUCAAGAUAUCUCUCUGGGAUUAUUGGAAUCCAAACAAUCUCAUACUUAUUGUCUCUUUUCAAUUCAUUGUAAACAUGAUGAAGUGCUUUGAUAUCUUCCUCUGAGAUACUCAAUUCUGAAAUUACCAAUAUAACGUUCUUUCCCGCCAAACUUUCUUGAAUGCUAACCUGUAUGACAUGCAAUGAACGUUAAAUUUUACAACUUCUCUUUAAAUAUAAGCACUUGUGUAUUCUAACUUUGUUGAAAACAAAUAUGAACAAAACUUGAACUUUAAAUUGAAAUAAUAAUCAAUAACUCUUUCUAUGUCAAAUGACGAAAUAAUAAUUAAAAACAACAAAACUAUAUAUUGAGAUGCCAGAACGGAAAAAUGAAAAACACAUCAUCAUUAUUUGAUUCAUGUGGGUACUUCUCUUUAUAGCCAAUUUCUGGUUUGAACAAGAUGUAUCUCUAAAGUGUGAUAUCAAAACGAUCCAAAAAAUGAUCAAGCCUUGAAAUGUUCUACACUGAAAUGAUGGGAGACACCUCGUAAACUCUACGACUUUAAUAUUAAAAAGGAAUGAACUAAAUGUUUUUGAUUUAGAAAGUAUGAUGAAGGUACUAAAAAUGUGUUAAUCUAGUUGAGAUGUUCUAAUGUACAAAUUGAUUUGUGAUUUAUUAUUCUACUUUGUUAAAAAAAAAUUGUGCCAAAUAUAACCAUUAUUAGAUUCAAAGUAUUAACAUAUAUAACAACGAUAUUUAAAUAAAUCCUAAUUACGGAUAAAAUUUACUAUAUAUUUAUAAAUUUUUUUAAAUGUUAGUUAUAUAGUCCAUUGUUAACCCCACAAAUAACUACUAUCAUUAAAAGAACAAAAAGAACGAACCAAAAGAUAGAAAUUUAUUAAACUUAAUAAACCCCAGUGAUCAUUAAAGUAGUGAAUCAUUAUGGGCUCUUUUCAUGAAUUUUCCUUCCUUUUAAAAUAUAGAGCCAUCUUGGCAAUUAAAAAAUUAUAGUAAUGUAACUUUUCAUUUUUCAAAGUUUUUUUUAUAAAAAUUGUACUUUUCUUUUCUCAAAUAUGUUGGAAAAUUGACUUUCAGUAAUUAUAAUACAAAAGUCAUUUUAAUUAUAUGCAUGAACACCAACAAAAAAAAAAAAAAAAAAUCCCACUUAAAUUUGGUCAAUAAAUUAUAUAUAUAGACAUUUUUAAAUAUAGCAUAACAAAUUUAAAUAUUUACGAUUGUAACAAAAUUUUAGAUUUUAUCAAUAAAAUUAAUAAAAUUCCAUUAUUGUCUAUCAAUGUCAUUAAUAGAAACAUAUUAAUGUCUAUCAAUGUUUAUUACCGAUAAAACUUGAAAAUUUUGUUAUAUAUUGUAAAUAUUUUUUCAAAUUUGCUAUCUUUUUAUCAUCUUAUAUCUUAUAUGUAACUUUCUUAAGAAUUGUUUGGUGGAAGGUUUAUUUUUUAUUUUUGUAUAGAAAUUGAUAUCAAGGUUUAAAUCUCCUAUGUUUGUUUCACACAAUUUUUAACAUGUUGCAUGUAAAUAAGCUAUUCUUAGCUAUUCUCAUUUUCCACGUACAAAUACUUUUUAUUCCCUCCCAAAACUAUGGUUUUAAAGUUCAAAAGCUAAAUUUUGUAAUUUAACCUAAUAGGAUUUAUGAUAAUGUGUAGGACAAACACAAUUGAGUUAUGAUAUAAAGAGAGACCUCUCUUAGAGUAGAGCCAUCAAUAAGGGGCUUGGCUUCAAUCUUGCCGGUAAGAAGCUUGGGAAUGACUAAUGUAAUAUCAGUAUGAUAAUGGUCUAUGUGAUCAACCAGCCACCGGUAGAGAUCAACGUCCUCUGCAUUAAAAUAAAUAUACAGAACAUAAAUUUAAUGUGAUUUUUCAGGUCAUAGUCAUAACAAUAUAUUUGAAAAUUAGUGAAAUAUCAAUAAUGAAGAUGUUAUAUAUUGUAAAGGUAUUUGACCAAAUUGUUCUCGGAUGGCAUCUAGAUGCUUUUCAAGCACAGACAGUACAAUGGCUAUCUUUUCAGACAGUUCAUUCAAAUAUUUCUGUGGUUGGUUCCUGAAAAAAAAAAUCAUACACAACAACAAAAAAAUGUCAAAUAUUUUAAAUAUUAAUAUCGAAAGUAUGAAAUGAGAAAACAAGCACAAAUAAUUUCAAAAAUCAAAUGGGUUAUUGAACUAAACCCUAAACCUUCAUGUUUUGUCAAAUAGCUAGUUAACUAGUUUUAUGAACUUUAAAAAAGUAUCUUUAUAGACAUUUAAUUUUCUGUCUAUUAAGUUCAUACGGUUUGAAAAUGUGUCAAAUAGGUUCCUAAAAUCUUGGUUUGCUAUCUAGUGGUUCUUGGAAUAUUUAACCAAUUUUAAAAUAAAAAAUUUAUUGGAGAUAUAGAUCAAUCAAACUUUUCAUGGAAUAAAUCACUUGAAACUGUAAAUUUUUAUGUCUAGUAAUAGAAUUGUAAAAAAAUAAAUCACUAAUAGAUGGUUGAUUUAUUAGACAUGAAAGUACAAGAAUUUAUUAAAAUGAGGAUUGAAAAUUGACUUAUUAUACACUUUUUAAAAUUCAAAUCUAUAUAUUAAAUACAUAAUUAAAGUUGAAAGGCUAUUUGAAACUCAUAAAACUCAUAAAGUACAUAAUUAUAUUUGACAUGACCCAUAAAGUUAAAAGAUAAAUAACUUGUAAUUUCAACUUUGCGCUACCUUUGUCUACCCAUCAAGGCUCUUUUCUAUAACUAUAACUCUUCUCCUAUUGCUCUCAAUUUCUACAUAUUUUCUUCUUCUUGUAUUUUCUUUUUAGAAACAAAAUAAACUUGUAGUUUAACCAAACUGUUGUUAAUAAUCCACAAGAAAAAAUAGGUAUUUGCUGAGAAAAAUAUAUUAGAGAAAAAAAAAGCACUUACUCAGUUUCACUUAGGUAGGUGGAGAGCUCAAUUCCAGAAGCAACAAUAGUGUGUAUAACCCAAUAAGUAAUCAGUGGAAUUUGGCGAAGAGCAGAAGGUAAUUCAGGAAGUUCCUUCACAUCAUAUUUAGAGAAUUCUCUAAUUUGAUUCAUAUAUUUAAUUGCUUUCAAGCAGCUAUUGAUCAAACUGUUGGGGCUCACAACCACUUGUCUAUAUCUAAGUGAGUCUAAGUGCUUUUUCAAAGUAGCUACUCUCUUUAUAAUUGCCAAAGAUUUAGCCAAUGAAUCUAUUUGGGAAUAUUGAUAAAGAUGCCAUAAAUCUCCAUAAUCAGUUGCAAAUGCUAUCAAAGUCAGAGCUGCCUUGGCUUCCCAUGGAUAAUUUGUCAAUAUUUCAAAGAUUUUUAGUGUAACCUCAUGUGCUCUUUCUAUCCCCGUUUCCUUGCAUGAUAGCUAAAAAAUCACGCACACAUUAUAUUCAAUUUAGCAAUUUAAGACAAGGAAAAAACAUUGUUUUUUUAAUAAUAAGCACAUGGAAAGUCAUUUUAAACAGGCUAUAACCUCGCCCAAGAUAUGGUGAAGAGUGCAAACUGGUGGCUCAAUCACAACACUCGAUGCUUGAGAUUCAUCUAAAUGUCCUAGACGUCCAUCAGUACCCUGCAUAGAUAGAUAAGAUAAAAGGUAAAUACAAUAUUGGUUGAGUUACAUGUUCAAUGAAAGACAAAUGUAGCAAAAACUAUCGCUACGAUAAACUCUGCAAGUUAAUUUAAAUUGGUAUAUUUGCAAGUGUUCCUACUAAUACUCAUAGUAAAUAGAUUGUAAAUUUGAAUUAACAUAAUAUAACUUAAUGAAACGUAGUACCCGAAGAACAGCAUCAGUGAUUCUAUCUGAAAGGGUGAGAAUGUUUUCGAUAACUGUGAUGUAAUGAGGGAGGUCGAUUCUAGUAGAGUCGUCGUCACGAUGUUUGGCAUAAAUGUAGCCAGUGACAAGGUCGUCGGAGUAAUAUUUCAUGGUCAAUUCCUCCUUGAGGGCGGGUGGUUGCUUAGAUUGAAUCAAUGCUGAUGGAGGAAUAAUGGGUGCCUUGAGUGAAGUAGCCAUGGUUUUGGGUGUAGAGAGAAGAUGAUCAGAAGAAUAGAAAAACAAAUUAGAAGGGUAAAAUUUGGUUAUGUUGUUGUUGGUUGGAUUUGGUAACGUCUAUUUAUGCACAUUGAGUUGUUCAAGAAGAGACAAAAAGGAAAAAGAGUAUGAAGGAAAUUAACUAAUUUUCAUUAUUUUGUGUGAAGAAAGGAAUUUGUGCCGCUGGAUCUGAGCUGUUUUUUAGUUCAUGGUCCUAUUUACCAAGUGGAUCAUACUCUACACUUUAUGGUAUCUUCCUUUAAUUUUCCUCUAUUUCUUUAAAUCUCACAAACAGUGAGAGGUGGAAUUAGAAAAUAUAAUUAAAAUGUUUUAACAAUCCAGCUAAAAUAAUAUUCUGUGUUGGAUCUUCUUUUGUUAAUAUACUUUUUCUAAUGCACCUCACCAAUAUCAAAUCUAAUCAUUAUCACCUUCUUUAAUUUAACACGACUGCUUCAUUUUAUUCUUUCUACUUUCAAAUUAUAUAAAAAUAACAAACUAAAUUAAAAUAUUUACAAAAUUUUGAAUUAUAUCACGGUCUAUGAACGAUAUUGGUAGAGACUAUCAAUGUCUAUUAUGAAUAGAAUCUAAAAAUUUAGCUACAUGUUAGUAAAUAUUUUGUCAAAUUUUACUUUUGAUAAUUCUCUAAUUUUCAUUUUGUUCUAUUCUAUUUCUAAACACUUAACAAAGUUCACUUUAGGUCUUGAAUUUUUUAAAAUUGUUUCUUUGAGUUUGUGUAUUUAAAAUUUUGCUAAAACUUAAACGGAAAUGCAAGGUGGCAUGCAUGCCAAAAUCAUGAACAAAAAAUUACUUUCAAGCUACCACACCCAAAAUUUACUUUACUACCAUAUUCAUGAUUGAAACCAUAGUUUUUUUAAAUGUGGGCUUAGCUUAGUCACACGUAAAAAAGAUUGGAAAGUACAAUGAAACAUCUCAAUAGGUAUUAGAUGGUACGUGUUAUCAAAUCAUACAAAAUAUAUAUUUUGUGAGGGCAGAGGAUUCAUUAAUAACUUUUUAAUUCUUUUUAACUGAUGACAUAUAAUAGAAACAUAUAAAACACAAUCUCAUGCUGAUUUGAAAAAGAAUUAGGGCUUUUUAAAACAAGUACGUUCAUAAAAAAGCAUGUUUACGUGUAACUACAAACUUAAUCAACCCUUCUUUAGGGAUUUGCAUCAAUUUUACUUUGAUUCCAUUUAAAAUCAACACAAAUUCAUCCUUAAUUUAAGUUAUAGUAAUUAAAGUAAAAUAUAAUAUAGGAUUAAAUAAAAGAUGAAAAGCCACACCUAUAUAUACCUAAUGAAAGUCUCUCUAUUCCCCUAUCUAAUAUUUCAUCAAUAAAGUAAUAUAAGUAAAAAUCGUAAUAUAAAUUAUUCUAAAUGGAGUUCCAAUUGGAAUAUCUAAAUUGAUCCUCCCUCAUGUAGAAGUUUAAUUAAAGUUUUAAUUGAAACAAUAAUUAGUGGAGUGUUUUAAUUAAUAGAACUCUUAAUAUAUUUCUUUUAAAAAAUAUUUUCUAUCCAAAAUAAAAUGUGAUAAAUAUACGUAUUUUGACAUUUUGCUAUAUUUGUAAAUCUUUCAAAAUAAUUAUAUUUUUUUCUUUAUUCUUGUGGUAUUUUUUUAAUAACAAACCUAGUUUUUCUUUACUAUAUUUUAACAUGUAUAAAUAAGAAAAAUCUAAUUAAAGAAUGGUGUCUUAAUUAAUUACUUCACAUUUGUCAGUCAAUUUUGAAAUAAACCUUAGUACUAAUCUAAUACGAAGCCCAAACAAGCAUCAUUGUGUCUAAAAUUAAUUUCGAUUAUUUUUAUUUUUUUUAAUAAAUACAAGAAGCCAACGAUACACUUAGAUAUUUCAACUACCUUUGAUGCAUACUUAAUUAGAACACCUCCAUUAUGUCCCUAAACCAAAUUAAAGAAAUCCGAUUAUAUUCAAUAAUGAUAUGAACACAUAAAAUCAAUAUGUUGACGACAUAGGUGGUGGAAUGUCACGUGGAAAAGAUGAGGAGACUUCAUAAUAUAUAAAAUACAUAUACGUAAAUUACUUUUCUAAAUGUCAAUUAAUUUUAAGAACAAACAAUGGGGUUUUAUAAUAAUAUUUUUUGCCAACAAAAUUACAUAUUUUUGUAAAACAAUAGAUUUUUCAAUAUAUAGUAAUUUGAAGAUGAUAAUAAUGUUGACUUGUGUGGAUGAAUUGUCCAGAAAAUAGACAAAAAUAAGGAAAAAUUGUUUGUAGAAAAGCUGACAGUUAACAAAGAGAAUGAAGAAUUAUUUGGAAAUCACCUAAUUGGUUCCUUUUCCUUAAGGGACAGAGUGAAUCUUCAAAUUUACAACGCCGAAGAAAUUGAAUACUUUCGAUAAAGAAGUUACAACAAAAUCUUGAGGAUAAUUGAUUAAAGUAUUACAUUAAUAUUAGGCCAACCCUCGUCACAAGGAAAAGAAUAUAUGCUUCUAAUAUCAAGUGAUCAUAUAAUAGUAUGUACUAUUAUUAAUCAAUUCACAUAUCACAUGCAUUUCAGCCAAAAUUUGCUGCCUUGCCUUGUAGUUUGUAGGAUUAAGCUUCCAAAUUUAGUUAAUUAAUACACAUACUUCAAAUUUUAAUUAUGUUUAUUAAUAUAUGUAGCUAUUUUGUGUUUUGUUUUUUUUUUUCCAUAUAUAUAGAUUUCCUCAUUUUACAGCAAUAGAGUUCUAAAUCAAUAUUCUAAAAUAAAAUUAAGAUUUUAGAAACUAUAAACUUUGGAUUGGCUAAUUAUUAAAAUAUUGUUGGUUUUAUUUUUUUCAAACGUUUAUAUAAUAAAGCAAGAAAUUUAUAAGUUGAAGUAGUAGUAGUGUUUUAUAAGCUCUUUCAAAAGAAAUGUAUCUCAAUCUUUCAUUACAAUAAAUAAAUAAAUGCCUCAAUUUUUGGUUUGGUGUAUAGUUUUUAGAACUCAACAACACAAAUGUACAAUUUAUGGAGAACAGAUCAUGUUUAAGUAAGGUCGUGGUUGAUGUAUAAUUAAUCUAUGAGCUUUCAAUUUUAAUUUGUAGUUGAUAAGCAUAGGACUUGUUCAAUAUUUGUUUUCAAAUUGGCAAAUUUAUUGAACCUAGAGAUGAAGCUAAUGCUUUAUUAGAUACAAAAUUCAAUUUCAUAAUAUAUAUAAAGAAAAUGAUUCAUUAGCUUUGAAAAUUAUUUAAUUUAUCUUCAAAUCAUUUGAUAGAAACAUCAAAAUUUGAAUGAACCUAUUUGAUAUAAAAUUGAGAGUUUGAUUAAGAGCAUGUUAUACAUGCUUGAAAUAUUUGGCGUAGUGUGGCCACAGGGAGUGAUUGAGAAGCAGUUGAACCUCAAAGUCUUUUCCCUCACCCAGCUGAAGGAUGAUGCCAAGGUGUCACACCCUGCCCCACACACGUCUUUACUCUUCAUGCGAGACGUGGAAUGACUUGAUUAUUCUGAUGCGUUUAAAUGCCAAAACACUUUAUCACUUAAGGUCCUUUAACUUUGCUUGGACCUCUUAAAGCUUAACUAAAACAACAUACUUUAGGCUAUAAGAAUACUUAAUACAAAUAAGAUAUUGAAUAACGGAAAACGUAUCAAAUGACAAAAAUAUUUAGAAAAAAACAGUCAAUGACACCUCUUUCUUGCAUAUUGUGAAUGUAGCAAAUAUAACAAGUAAUUAGUAGUAUCAGACAGCUAUCAGACGACUAUCGAAGGGUCGGAGGGCUAUUAGAGGGUUAUCGAAUUUUAAACCUACUACUUUUGCAAUUUAAAAAAUGUAGUGACAUAGACUCUAUUACCAUAAAUUUUUUUGUUACUUUUGGAAGGGCCUCAUUGAAUAAUUGAUCCUUUAUUAAAUUUUGCUAAGCGUUUUACAAAACUUUUACAACAUUACAUAAAUACAACUCUUAAAACUUAGAAAGUAAAACGUAUGGCAGCUCUUUUCGCCUAGCAAGCCCUUCAUCUUUUUCUUUACUUGGCCUAAAGGGCUGAAACCUAGCCUUAAGCCCUUCAUCCUUUCCUUUUACUUGGCCUUAAUUAAGGCCGAAAACCUGGAAGAUAAACUUUAAAAUGGAAGUCUCAAAGACUCAAUGAGGUUUUAUGAAAACCUUUUAGCGAAUUGCUUUUCGUAAACAUUAUUUUACCAAUUUUUCAUAAAUACAUCUUUUCAUAUAAACAUAACAAAUCAAAUAAACAUUCAUUUCACAAACAACACACAUUAGUCAACAGUGAUACCUUUCGUCAAGAACCUAAAUCAUUCUCUACCCAAAGACUCAUUAUCUCACAUUUAGACUACUGAGAUGGUCUUCUCUUCGUCAACAUCCAAGAAUAUCCUAAUUUAAUUUAUGGGACCCUUGCAAAAAUAGCAAAAAAAUUUAUGAUAAUAGGGUUUAUGUCACUACAUUUUCUAAAUUGCAAAAGUAACAAAUUUAAAAGUUGAUAACCCUUUAAUUAGUGUCUGAUAGCCCUCCGAUAGGCCUAUGAUUACUAUCUGAUAGCCAUCUAAUAUCACUAAUUUUGUCAUAUUCGCAAUAUGUAAAAAAUAGGUGCCAUGAGCUGUUUUUCUAAAUGUUUUUGUCGUUUGAUGCAAUUUUCCUUAAUUUGUUCCUUGUUGCUCAAGCCAAGACUCAAUGCACAUUUUUUAUACAUUGUCUCGUCUCAUUCUACCACACACAUCUUUUAUAUAUGGCUUCCUUUACUUUUUAUAUGCACAUAACAGUUAGCUCAUUCAUAGGCGAAGCAGACUAAUGGUUUGAACAUCAUUUCACAAUCAUUUUUAACAUAUAAAGCAUGCUUCCCACACGAAUCUCUUGAAAACAUUGAUAUUGAAAUCAGUAUUUCAAUCAAUAAACACUUUAUUAAGAAAACUAGAAAUCAUGUAAACCACUUUGAAAAAAUACUCACUGCCAUGUCCCGCCUCAAAAGUCACUUCUUGCAACCAAGUGGACGUCUAUCGGCUAUGCUUAAAUACCAAACAUUUUUAACACAAGGUAGUGGAAUAUGAUUCUCUUUUACUUUUCCUCCAUUUACGCGACAGACACAAAAAAUAGAUUAGAAUAAGUACAAAAAGCAAGACUGCCCAUUUUCUCCUGUUCCUUGGCUACUACUGCUUCUUGAGGCGGGGUACUUAGAUGUGUGAAACCUUCUUUUCUUUGGCUUUUUGCUCUCUAAAAUUCAAAUAGGCUUCUUAUCAUCCUUUUCUUUCUUGCUUUUUGCCCCUAAUGUUGCUUCUUGUAGAGGAUACCUAGAGGUGUAAAGGUGGCACUUCCUCCUCUACCUAGGUUGCCCAACUACCUCUCUUAGUAAACCACAUUAGAGCUAUUCUUGCUCUGACUCAACCCCUUGGCUCUCUAGCUCACCAGAUUAGGCCUUCACCAACCUAGGUAUUACACUCGACUACCUUCUGAGUCGAGCGAUCUGCACUAAGGAGCAAUUCACUUACCAACCGACUCCUCAGGCGUAAUAGACACCUUUAUAGCCAACGUGCCAUAUAGGACUACAUUGAUAGUCUAUCUUCCUUCCUUAGCUUGACUAUGAAAUCUCAAAACUAACAUUUGCAUGGCCACAACGCCUAGUAACAUAGAAAGGGGAAAAACCUAAUGAAUGAUGGUUUUGAGAAAAAACUUUUUGGGACAAACACCACAAAGACAAUAAUAAUAAGGUCAGAUAGCAACAUAUAAAUCUCAUCACAUAAGCCACACCAUCCAAUCAUCAGUACAACAAGUGCUACAAGCAUUGCGUACUCAGAUCGUAUAGCAACCUAACGCAUUACAGUCCACAAACUUUACAACCAUUACUAUCACAAAUGUCAUCAGCACCACAACCUUAAAUCGUAUUGUAAUUUAUAUUAAUUACCGAGACCUAGGAUUCUCUCCUCACCUGGACUUGGGAUUCACACUCAACUAGCGUCAUGCGAGUUAUCUGGGAUUACCACUAGCGCCUCAUCAUAUCCAUCUCUCUCGGACUUGGGUUUCACAUUCAUCGUGCGCACAUUACAACCUCGUCUAGACAUGGAAUUCUCCCCUUCUUUAGACCUGAAAUUCUCACUCAACCAACGUCAUGCGAGUUAUGGGAUUUUCAAAUUCAAGCAUAUGGUGACAUUUCAAAUUUAGGUUAAUGGAUGGUUUGUAGAAGUACCACCUAGACACCUAAACACUUGAACAUUUGGGUCUUUAGACGUUUUGAUUGAAAACUAUGAUAUGUUUACGUCUUUGGAUGCUUGAAACAUACAGAUCAUUUUAAAGUAUAUGACAUUUUUUUAGUUUUUUGGAUGGUUUGUAGAAAUAUCACUUAGACACUUUUUAAAUUUAUUGUAGUUGGUUUUGCAUUUUGUGAUCACACUUAGGCAUUUGAAACUUAAUCUUAUUGUUGUUGGCUUUGAGGGUUAAAACACAUUUUAGCACAUUUUUAGUUAGACUUUAGUUCCAAAGUCACACUUGAGACUUAUUCGUUUUAAUGUACCUUUUUCAUGUUUAUAUAAUUUGAAGGAGCAUGGAAUGACUAUUUUUUAAAAACUUCCUGGGUGAGUUAACUAUUUUUUGUGUAUUUAAUAAUUUUUUGUUCAUUUUUGUAUGCCAAAAUGAAAUUUAAUAUAGCACAUGUACCUUGACAUUUUAAAGAAUUAUGGUUUGUCAUAUUUUGACAAAGUAUUAAUGAUUAGAAAUAAUUUCAUUUUUAAUUUUUUGUUGCAAUGUUUGAUAUAUUUUGUUGUAGCUAGAAAAUUCAUUCUAUAUUUGAAAAUUAAUUCAGAAGCAUACAAUAUUAAUAAUAAAUGUGAAAAAAAUUAAAAUUGUUUAUGUCACGUGCAUAUAUGUACUUUUGCCUACCAAUUUAGCAUGGGGAGAAAUUUUCUUUAUGUCGACAAAAACUUUUUCGUUGACAGAAACAAUUUAUGUCCACAAAACAAACGUGGACAUAAAGUUUAUUUUUUCCGACGUAAUGAUGAUCGUGGACAAAAAGAUCUUUCUUAUGACGUCUUUUUCGUAGCCAGAAAGUAUAUUUUUGUCCAUAUAAUGAUGAUCAUGGGCAAAAAUACAUGUCUGCCGACGCUCUCUUCGUGGCUAGAAAUACCUUUUAUGCCCACAUUUUAAUUUGUCUGACGACAUUUCUGUUGACAACAUAAAAAACGUACACAAAGAAAAAGACAACGGUGUUUUAGCCACAUAACGUGUCCACGCAAACAAACAUCGGCAAAAGAACUGCCCCAUUUUUCUAUGUCCACAAAGAAAAAAAUUCUUGUAGUGAAGAAAUCAUGUGUAACAACCCAACUUUUCUAGGUAAGUCGAGGUCAUUAAUUUUUAACAGAUAAAAGACUUUGAUUAAUACAAAAUGAAAUGUAAGUUAAUUUAAAAACAUCUUUAAGUCAGGCCUGAUUUUCAAAUAUUCAAGAAAACAUAAAAAUAAUACUAUUUACAAUAAACGUUUGUAAACUAAAUUUCAAUACAUCUUAAACCUCACAAGAACCCAUAAGCGGAAGCAAUAACACGUUUCCUAUGGCAAUCACGCUUCCUUCCUGCCCCUCGCCGGUUUGCCGCCUUUAUUACCUUUGCCUGAAAAUUAAACAUAAGAAGGGUGAGUAUUAAAAUACUCAGUAAGAGACCCUCUACACAUAAGAAGGGUGAGUAUUAAAAUACUCAGUAAGAGACCCUCUACUGGUCUCGUCAGGGGAAAAUAAAUUGUUAACGUUCUAUUGGGACACCCUGUACAGUCGCAGUCUUGUGAUCCCGUAGGAUGCACAUCUCAGUCUAACGCUCCAAGGGACGUACAUAUCAGUCUAGUGUUCUGCAGAAACACAUAUCAGUCUAAUGCUCCCGAAGGUGCAAAAUAAAUUGGUGAUCCCGUGGGACACCUACAAGGCACACAUCCCAAUAAAAGUUUACAAUUUUUCCCUCAUUCCAUUCAAUCCAUCUUUCAGUUACUUCAAAACAUAAGGUUCUUUCUCUCAACGUCCUAACAGUCAACUUAUUUCACUUUAGUCAUAUGUCUGUCAAUAAUAUACUAAUACAUCAGUCAAUCAAACUAUACAGUCAAUACACCCCUCAGUUCACCAGCACACAGUCAUACUUUAGCGCAACAUACACCCAAUCUAAACGAGAAUCACAAGUUCACAUCUGCAUCUCAUACAAACACAAUCUACAAAUUUCGUCCUGUCCACAUACACAGUUAUAUAUAUAUAUUCCAUGACAAUCACAAUAUGCAUUCGACAUUAAGUCUACUUCAAUUCAUAUGCAUUUAUGUAUAUUUUCAGUCAAUCCACAAUAUACAUUCAACACAUACAAUUCACAAUCAUAAGUGAGUCCAGUAGAAAAUCUCUUACCUCAAAGUUAGGGAAGCUCCUUAAUCAACUAACGUCCUCGAAACAAUUCUAAGCAUAACAACACAAAAUUCAAUUACUUUCACGAUACAUAUCUCACUUACUUUCCUCAACGUAAGUUCCAACUCACCGAUAUAUUGGAGAACUGAACCCUCAACAAUUCACAAACUGGUUGUGAAUGUAAGAGAGCUUAACGUUACUCCGACCACCUCAACGCACGACUAUCAAACUCGCAGCAUAAAUCCUAAGUGUGGGUCGGUCAGCGGUCGGCCAAAGGAGACGUGGCGGCUGCCUCAAAAUCGAUCAACGAUCUGACGCGGCGACCGGGCUUCACAAGAUGUAUGCGUCGACGGCUUCAUGAAGGUGAAGACAGACGCGGUCGGAGAGAUUGCACGGCAGGACUGCACGAACCGGCCGACGGUUGCGAGCAGCGGAUCUGGGUUACUGCACGAGCGGCGACGAGGACUCGGACGGCGGUUGUGAGCGGAGGACGUGGCGGUUACUAGUUCACACGGCGGCUCGGGCUUCGACGGAGACAGAGCAAGGGCGCGGAGACGGUUGCAGUGGCGGUGAGGGUUUCUUCGCGUCAUCAAACAUAGUGUCGACGGUAUUUGAUGCAUUACAAGAUUGUUCUUAAACAGAUUGAACCAUAUUAAUUGUAUUAAAUAAAUCGUCGUUUUCAUCAGUUUCAUCCACUGUAUUUUCCAUCGUGUUGGCAACGUUAUAUGAGUUCAAUUCUUCACCAUGCCAGAACCAUACCUUGUAACUCUUAUCAAUUCCAUUGGCAUACAGAUGAUACCGAACUGUUGAGACAUCCUUAAUUAAACGAUUGCCGCAAUUCAAACAUGGACAUCUAAUUGAAUUAAGACCUUUGGCAUGACUCAACCCAAAUUUAUUGAGCCUUUCGACUCCUAAAUCAUAUUCUCUUGACAUCCUAUUUUGGGUCAUCCAUGACUUGUCCAUUGUGUAGAGGUCUAAGUUGGCCUCGAAAUAAACCUGAUUACAAAAGAGAUUAUAGGCAACAACUUUUAAAACUCAAACUUUCAAAACGGUAGAUAAUCCUCAAAGUACUUAAUAAUUUAUUUCAUACCAUUUAGGAAUUUUCUAGCUGUGGUGGAAAUGAUUGUGGUAGGAAAUAGCGCCACAGAUAGACACACAAAAGUAUAUUUUCCAAAAUAGAUAAUCAACAUCAAAAUUAUAUAUAAUAAAGAAAAUAUUGUAACUAUAUAUACGAAGAAAAUAUCGUAAUCCACCUAUUAACACUCAAAUACCAUGGAACGUUCUCCUAAGACUUGAGUCAAUUCAGACCUCCCCUAUUGGAUUUUGUCGACUUUGACAGUUUUGAAGACUUUCGUCCAUAUUAAACGAAUCACUCGACUGCCAUGAUGAAAACUAAUUAAAUUUGUUACAUUAAUUUGAAAGGUUGUCUCAUUACCACAUUAGUGAUGAAACCAUCUGCAAGGAAACUUCUGGACUAAGUUCAACAACCCCCAAUUAGCAUAAAACAUUUGAAGGACAAUUUCCUUUACAGACAUGAUGAAUGAUGAAGGGAAUUAGUUGACAAAUAAUUAUAACAAUAGUUUGUCUUUAGUUAGUUGAUUAGGGUAGGUUUGUAUAAGUACUUUGGCUUACAUUGUACAAGUAAUUAGACUAAUAAGCUAACUCAGAAAUUAAAAUUGAAGAGAAACUAACCGUUAGAAAACAGAAAUUGGGCAUAACUCAAAUUCACAAAAUAAGCUCAUGUGGUUGCAAGAACGAAUUAAAGUCAUAUAACAGAAAAUCAACGAUUAAUGACUGAAAUUGGGAUAAACUGAAACUCACGAAACAAUCCAAUGGAGACAACGAAGAACUUCAUAGAGAGAGAGAGAGAGAGAAAGAGAUAAGGAAGAGAAGCUUACCGGCGAAGGGGAGGGGUGACGACCGACGCCCACGAUUUGAAGCUUCGGGUUGAUUGGAGAGGUUUGGAGAAGACGGGGGUGGUGGCAACGGGUUGGUGGAGAAGGUUUCGACGGACGGACAGGAGGGGGGUGGUGGUGGCGACGGGACUUCACGCGGAUUGGAGGAAGAAAUUGGGGGAAAUUUGGGGGAAAAUUAGGGCACGCGGAUGGGAGGAAGAAUUUGGGGAAAAUUUUGGGAAAUUUGGGUUUUUUUUUUAAAAUAUAAAUAUGUAAUUUUAAUUUUUUUAAUAUAAAAUAAUAAAUUUUUUAAUGGUAACAUUCUAUGACAUCAAAUAACUGUCGCGAAAUGUAUUAUCCGAAAAAUUCCGUCUUUUCCCGCCAAAAACGCGAAAUUUUCUAUUUUGUGACAGUUUUUUUUUUCAUUCAUUUUUUGAGAUAUAUAACUGUCAUAGUAGACAGGUUUUCUUCUAGUGGAUGCCCAGUAAUUAAAAAUAAAUUAACACAUAAUAGGAUACCCAGUAAUUAAAAAAGAAAUUAACACAGAAUGGAUGCCCAGUAAUUAAAAAGAAAUUAACACAGAAUAGAAAGUAGAAUGCCAGUAAUUAAAGAAAGAUGCUAAUUUAGCAUGUAAAAUGAUUAACACAACAGUUAAUAAUUAAAGCAGUAUCAUCAAGCAUGAAUAAUAAUAAAAAAAAACUUACCAAUAGGUCUGCUCUUAAAUGCCAAAGGUUAUUUCUUGAUCAUUUUCCACUCUACACCUCUUCCUAAAUCCCCAAAUGAUAAAAAAUUCUCUUUUUUCUCUCCUUUUUAUAAUCUUCUUCUUCUCUAGAGUGCUCGACCAUCUUCACACGUAGGCUAUCGACAGUUUGGCAUAGAGAACAAUUGUGUACUUCCACAUCUACUAUUUGUGUUUCCCGUUUACCAAUUGACGAUUUCAAAUCAUUGACAAGCUCGAAAGAAUAUUCAUUCAUGCUUUCUAAGUCUUUAAUAUAUUCAUCUUGCGAUUCUACUGUUGUCUGUAAUAUUGUCUUUUCAUUUUUCAAACUUCUAUUAGAUUUAUUCAUUCGUCUCAUCCCUUCAUCUAACACCUCAAGAUUCUUUUCUAACUUAUCUUGAUUUUUUAAGAAACUCUUGGUCUUUUCAAGCUCUUUAUGCAAAAAAGUCGCAUGAUCUAUCCAUUGGCUCGUCUCCUUUUGAAGUUUCUCAUUCUCUUACUCUAACAGUCGAUUUUUCUCUUCUAAUUUAAUGAUCUUCUCAACCCACUGGUCUGAUUGUUCAAAGCUUGUCUCCUCUACCCUUUCAACUACCUCCCUUAAGGUAUAUAUUACAUUUUUCCUUCUAUUAUUUGUCUGUCACGCCUCAUAUCCACUAGUAACCUCGUCAUAGUGUCCUUUGUCUUUUAUCUUCCUCACAGACUUCCAUGCACAUAUUACUCGAUGUUUUUUCUUUGACAGUCUUCAUGAUCUUAUGGAAAGUCAGAGUCUUGUAAAUUAUGAGUUGGUGGUAUAAACUGUUUGAGCCAAACUUGACGCAAAACUAACAAUGGUGUAUAGUUAACACCUCCCCACGGUCCCAACAAAUGCACACUAUGAAAAUCUCCAGAUCUGUAAAUUACUGCUUUCAAAGGCAUCCAUUGGGCUUUCCAUAUGACAUUUUUAGAACUCAACGUUGAAAAGAAAGACACCCAAGUCUCCUUCUUUGGAUAUGUUGGGUCCCAAACUGCUAUACCAAACUCACUAAAUGUGUUUCGCAUUAAGUUUCAUGGGCUACUGAAUUCUAACUUUGGACACCUAAACUCUGCCGAAAAUUUGAUAUGGCUGUGUAUCCAAAUAUAUAAUAAAGAAACACAACAAUUCAAUUUUCCUGCACCUUUAUUUCUACAAAAGUUAAGGGAUCGAAAAGUUUCAGCCAAUAUAGGUAUAAUAGGAUCGACUCGUUUUAUUUCAAAGAAUAAUCUGAUCACUUUCCCAUCGACAUAACCUUCUGCUUUAGGAAAAAUCACCGCUCCAUAAAUGCAUAAUGCCAAGAGAGCAAGACAUUUGUCUUCAACAAUGUAAGUUUAUGUCAUCAUUAAUAGAUAGUCAAAUGACACAUUCUCUUCCCCACCCUUAACUUUUAUAUGUUUAUGAAUUUCAAUGGCAUGGACGGUUUCUAAAACUUUUGACAAAAUCCUUUUUGUUGUUUGCUUAGGGUUAAAGAAAUAAACAAUUUUCCUUUCCUUUCCAGGCAUGCUAAGCAUAGCUUGAUAUUCUUCUAUGGUUGGCAGUAAAUCACAUGACCCAAGUGUAAAACAAUUAUAUGUUGGAUCCCAAAAAUUAAUUAUGGCUCUUAAAGCAAAAUGAUUCACCGGUAUGUACAUCAACUCUGCUAUAUGUCCAUAUUUCUUCGAAAAAUGAAUCUCCGUUGAGGUGUCAAUGCCUCCCAAAUCAUUUUUAGUUUUGCUAAAUCAUUUUGUGUAAAAGAGAGCUGACACUUGGAUAGUACUGAUAUUUGAGAAGAAUUAUUUAUAUUAUCCCCAAAUUUUUGUUGUGUCUCUUCACCCCAUUUAAGAACAUCACUUGGCUCAUCAAACUUAGUUUCAGAAGAUGAAUGCAUUGACAUAUUGGACAUCCUGGUAUUUUAACAACUAUUUUUUUUUUUUUUUGCACAAUUAUGACAAAAAGAUAUAGUCAAAUCACUUUGCACAAUAAUAAUAAUAAUAAUAAUAAAAAGUAACAAAACAUGAGAAAAAAAAAAAAAGUAAUAAUAAUAAUAAUAUAAUAAAUAAUAAUAAUAAUAAAUAAAUAAAUCAAUAAUUAAUAAUUAAUAAUAGAAAAUUAAAAAAAAUCUAAAAAAUGUAAAAUAAUUAUAAAUAAAUAAAUAAUUAAAUAAUAAUUAAAUAAAGUUUUCAUGCACUUGUAAGCAUUGCUCUCCUUAUGGUUGAAAUCAAAGACCAAAUUUAAAGGAAAAAAAUUAAAAAAACAAAGAAAAUUGAACCAAAAUUUCGUUUCUUUUAUAAAUAUAAAUAUAUUGUAGAAAAUACUAUGAUUAAACCCCAUUUUUUUAAAAAAAUAAAUAAAAAGGAAAUAUGUCAAAUUUUAUAAAAAUGUGAAACUUUGUUUUUUUUAAAUAAUAAUAAUAAUAAUUUGCAAAUUUUGACUUUGGAUAAAAUAAGCUAGAUAGAAAAAUGAUAUGGUGUCAGUAUCAAAACUCUUGGAAGAAAAAGACCCUCAAACUUAUUCUAAUGUUAUUUAACUAAUAACAGAAGAAUUAAUCUGAGCGAGGAUCUUUCAUGUGCCUGCACGGGAGUCGAAACCCCUCGAAGGUCAACACUACUCUGUCCUCAAUUCUAGUCCUAUAAGGUUGUAGCCCGGGUAGAGGGCUUGUGAGUGUAUGUAAAUGCAUGAUGACAUAAAAAAAUAUACCAAUAACAUAGUACAAAAUAUUAUAUAUGAAUCAAAUAAAAACAAAUAAUUAAGUGAAUCAACAUAUUAUAAUAUAGUAAAAAUAAAAGAUAAAAUAUAUGGCUCGACUCUUCAAUAUCCCCAGUGGAGUCGCCAAGCUGUCGCGACGUGAUCGCUACGCGGAGUGGCCGACCUCCCCGUUUAUUUAAUUUUAAUAAAUAAUUUUGGAGUCGCCACCAAUCAUAUUGAGGUGUGAUUGGUCACCCAAAAAAGAAAAAAAAAUUAUGGUCUACGUAAAUUCAGAGAUUUAAGUUCGGGACUCAGUUGUGUGUAGGGAAGGUGUUAGCACCCUACAAUACCCACAAAAUGGUUACCCAAUUUUAUCUUUUAAAUUAAAUAUAGGGGUUCACAAAACAAAGUUUUUAUUUAGGUUUUGUUUAAAUGUCUCAUGUUUAUCAAUUCAUAUCGAAGAAAGUAAAACCUAAGCAUGAAUUGAUAAUUAUGGGUGGCAUAAGAGCCAUUAGAAAAAUUAAGUUUAUUUUUGUUUUAAAAGAUUUUUAUUCACCUUAAAAAUAUUAAGAUACCAAAACUUGAUAUUUUAAUCUCUAUCAUAAAUGUUUAAUGAGAAAUUUCAUGUAUCUAGAAUUAAUAAAUUCAUAGAAAACACUACUCAGUCUCAUUUAAAAUAUGAAAUGUGUUUAUUUAAAAACAAUCUAUUAAUUAAAUUUAAAACGAAAAAAUUUCAUGUUUUCAUGGAUUUUAAAUUAUAAAAUCCAUAAAAAAGAAUACUUUUUCUCCAAUUUACAUUUUUAUAUUUAAAUUGAAAAAUGAAUAAUAACAAUGAUAAAACAUUAUGAAAUUUGAAAAACACUUGAAGGGUAAUAUGCUGAGAUAAAAUAAAUACAUUGAUAAUAUAGGCAAUAUGCAAAAUUUACAAGAUGAUUAACGUAGGAUGCAAGAUAAUUAAUUAAUACAACGCAUGCAAGAUAAUUAAUUAAUACAACACAUGCAAAAUAAUUAAUUAAUUCAAAAUGAUGCAAAAUAAUUGAUUAAUGCAUAACUAAACGAGGAUGCCAAAUUGAUAUCAAAUAAUAAUUAACAGUUGAAUGUCAAACUAGGUUUAACGCAAUAUGCAAAUAAAUAAUCACACCCAAAUGAAUAUCAAACAAUUAUAGCAAGAUGUAUACUGGUUAAUUAAUUAAUACAUCAUGCAAAUAAUUAGAAUAAGUGAGUGAAAAACGUCACAUACAAGUUGCUAAUUAAUUAAUAGGCCAAAUGGAAAAUGAGUGUUGCCAAAUACACAACAUUAAUUAUAUCAUGAAUAAUUAUAAACAUGGAUAAUUAUUAACAUGGAUACUAUAUGGAUAGCAGUAAUUAUUAACGCAGUAUGUCAUAUGGAUAAAGUAAUUAACAAAGACCGUAAAAUGGAUGCCAAUAAAGAAUGAGUAUUACCAAAUACAGGAUGCUAAUUAAUUAAUUAUGCAUAGGAUGCCAUAGGGAUAUAAGUAAUUAACACAGACGGUAAAAUGGGUGCCAAUGAAGAAUGAGUAAUUAUAAUUAUGCAUAGGAUCAAGCUUUCACAAACAUUUGUUGUCAUUAUUUGAUAUCUUUUUUCUCUAGAGUAUGCGCGUGAACAUCUCUCAAAACCAACUUUCAUAAGGUAUCCUUUAAUAGAUGGGUAUAUCGACUCCAUCCAUCUCAUAUACAACUCAAAAUUAUCUACUAUAUAAAAGUAUGCACAUUGACAAAAAAAGCUUUUCAAUUAAAGAGUCUUUAAAUGACAACUUGACACUCUUCAAAAGAUGUUUUACACAAAGGAAAUAUUGUACCAAUGGAAACACAUCUAAAACACCUUUCGAAAUACUUAUAUGUCUAUCAGAAAUAAUAACCAAUCCCUCUCGAUCUCCAAAAGAAAGUUUUAAUUAUUGAAAAAACCAUUUCCAAGAAGCAUCAUUCUCUGAAUCUACUAUACUAAAUGCAAGAGGGAAAAUUUUACUGUUACCAUCCAUAGUUGUUGUCGUUAACAAUGUUCCACCAUACUUACACUUUAAAAAUGUCUCCAACCUUCAAUUGAUGAUGCCAUAGCCAUGAAACAAUAUUUGAAAUGGUCAUUUGCAUCUAUUUCAUAUGCAGUAAAUGAACCUACAAAAAAGGAAAAAAAAUAGAACAAUCAAAUUAAUAAAAGCACUAAAUAGUAAGUGCAUACAUCAUACAAUAAGUAUACUUCAUCAUAGGUAUUUCAGUAAAAUGAUAUACAACAACUAGCUAGUAUACCAACUAUACAAGUAAAAUAGUGAAUGAAAACAUAUAAUUAGUAUUGCGUACAUCAUACAAUAAGUAUACUUCAUAAUAGGUGUAUCAAUAAACUGAUAUACAAAAGUUGGCAAUAGUAUAAAAAAAUGAAAUAAAUUGAACAAUAUACUAAAUUAAGUGGUAGAAAACAACCUGGAUUUAUUUUUUUUAGUUUUGAAAAGAACUUUGAAAUCAAAGCAUAAGAAUUAUUGGCUUCUCCUUUCAACAACUUCAUAACAAAUUCUUUUGCUCUCCGAGCCUUAUAAUAACUAACAGAAACUCCAUAAUUCAUACGCAUAUGGUGAAUGAUAUCUUUUGGUGUUUAAUGAGAAUAACUAUACCUCAAAUAAUAAUCAUACAUUGACUAACAAAUUCUGAAGAUGCUUGCUUAUGAGAAGAAUGAACAAUCAUUGAGCAACUAUGAUCACUAACAUAUUUUCGAAUCAUCCAUAAUUCACUUCUUUUAUAAUGCGAUGCUCUAACAAACCAAAGACAGUCAUCUUCAUUACAUCCCAACUCAAUAGAUCUUGAAUUAGAUCUCAAUGUCUUAAACUCAAAAUUAGUCUUGACAGCUAUAAAGCGAAAUGCCUUUAGCAAAAUUUCUUUACUACAAAACAAAUCAUUCUCCUUAAAAGCCACCUCAUCAUUAGUAUUAGUAAUAUCAACAUCUCUAAAAAUUGCUAAUUCACAUCCUAAAUCAACCUCAACUAUGGAAGAAGAAGAACCAAUUGACACAUCCAAUAUCGUGUCUAUAGAAUGAGCAACUAAAGAAUAUUGGGUAGAUUGAUCCUUAACCAAUGUCAAGAACCAAGUCACAUAUUUACUUUCAACAAUCUUAAGAACAUGUUGAACACCAUUACUACUUAUAGAUAAUAAAACUGAAAGUUCCAUACAUGACUCAAUAUGAAUUUCAGUACGUAUCAAGUUCACAAAAGAAUCAAAUGAUGUCACUCCAUCAACCAAAACACAAUUUGUUUUGUAGUCCACAUAGCACUGUUGCUCAUCCCAUUGACCACUAUGAAAUACAAUGACUGCAAGCUUAACCAUAACUACAAUGAACUGCAUUCAUUUUGAGAGAAUAAAAAAUAUGUAGUAAGUGUAUUAGUCAACUAAUACAUAUAAUAAAAGUACAUCAAAUUACUGUAAAAAAAACUGAUACAAAAUUUAAAAAAAAUAAAAACAAAAUCAAACUCUGCAAAGCCCCAUUCGGUAAAAGAGAUGAGAAACAAAUAAAAAAACAAAUAAAAUAGAUGAGAAAGAACAAAUUGUAGCCUUAAUUUCUAAUAGGUGACGAUCGAUUCACAUAAAAAGAAAGAAACGAUGAUGAUCGACUCAAAAAGAUAGAAAAGAUGAUGAUCGAUUCAAAAAAAGAAAGAAAAGAUGAUGAUCGAUUCAAAAAAAGAAAGAAAAGAUGAUGAUCGAUUCAAAAAAAGAAAGAAAAGAUGAUGAUCGAUUCAAAAAGAAAGAAAAAAUGAUGAUCGAUUCAAAAAGAAAGAAAAGAAGGACUUUAAAAAAGAAUAUGGGAAGAAAUACAUACUUGAACAAGAAGAGACGGUGGAGAAGAGGAAGAAAAAGAUGAGGAGAAGAGAUGUAGCGAAUAGGAGAAAACAAGAACGGUGAAGAUUGAAGCACAAAGAAAACCAUGAAAAGGAAAAACAAUAAAAAGAGAACGAAUAAGUGACGGAAGAGGAAGAUGAAGAGAAAAUAGUGCAUAUUUAAGAAAAAUGCAUUUUUGGAAUAUGAAAAAAGUAAAACACACAAUAUCAACACAAAAUAGAAAAUUGUCAUAUUUGCAAAAUUAAAAAGGUUGGUGCUAUUAUUGCUAAAUCCUAUUUGUACUGUGUCAUCCAAUACAAUUUCCUUAAGAUUAAUGUAAAGUAUUUGCGUACUUUGAUACAUGGUAAAAUAUAGUUAAUUGUAAAUACAAUUUAUAAUAGAGAUCGAAUAUAUUACAUGAGAGAUAUAUUGGAAUGAGAUUCAAAUAUAAACCUAGAGUGUAAGAUUAAUGUGAACGAGAUUCAUAGGUAUAGUAUAGAAAGUGAUAUGCAUAUAAAUAUUUGAUAUUUAUAGAUAUUAAUUAAAUAUUAUUUGAUUAAUAUUUGAAAGUGUAUAUUAAUUGAUGAUUUAAGAGAGCUCAUCUAACUCCUUGGACUCCUAGAUAAGAAAGUCUUUGGUGGUGGGGUUCUUGUUCGUUGAGAAGUCCAAGAAUGUUUGGGAACAAAAACAAAAAAAAGAAUUAUAGAAAAAAGAAAAUCUGCAAAGGGUUUAGUUUCUGUUUCAUCUCCUUCUCUACAUUAAAAGCAUGCUUAUGUAGUUUAAGUUUUUUCUGUCACUUCAAAUAAUGCAGGGCUAUUUUCUCUAAAUUUAGUGUUUCAUUAGACUAAAUUUCAAGUUGCAUGGACAUCACACGUUUCUAUGGAGAAGUUCGUUUUCCUUCAACGAUAUCAUAAAACACAUAUUGAAUCGAAAUUUAUAAAAAGAGAUACAAUUAUCAUUUAGUUAAAUAACAUAAAUAAAUCGUAAAAAUAUUCAAUAGAUGAUAACUAGGGUUGAGACCAUAUAUCUCGAUUACAUUAGAAAAAACACACACACAACUCAAUUGCCACCAAAAGAUGGCAUCAUUUAUUAUACAUAGUAGUCUUAAUUAGUAGUAUAUGAAUAUAAUAAAAUGAUAAAAUAUAACUCACUUUGGAUGAUCACAUAUGAGCACCUCCGUGGCAACACUUGAAGCUAAUACCAGUCUCCAUGAAACGAGGGCAUUCAGGACAAUUCACAAUCAUAGGAAUCCAUCCACUGAAUCCAGGAAGAAUUACUCGAUCACAUUGGUGACUACUGAAAGCCAAUUCAUUGAAGUAUUCUCUAAACACAUCAGGGAAAGCCUUUAUCCUCAAAUUUUGCUUCCAUUUGGGGAAAUCUUCUAGUAAUUUCAAUAUCAAAAUCCCACGGCCAACCAGCACUGGGG
This 42174-nucleotide long non-coding RNA is filed under the name Cucumis sativus (cucumber). RNAcentral describes it as "long non-coding RNA (CSAT_LNC000627)". The record is from RNAcentral. Lineage: Eukaryota; Viridiplantae; Streptophyta; Magnoliopsida; Cucurbitales; Cucurbitaceae.